RNAcentral lists this long non-coding RNA (750 nucleotides) under Anser cygnoides (Swan goose). RNAcentral's name for it is "lncRNA (ENSACDG00005002487.1)". The record is from RNAcentral. Lineage: Eukaryota; Metazoa; Chordata; Aves; Anseriformes; Anatidae.
AUGACUUAUUCUGUUCCUAAUCACCCUCCUGAUUUGUGUAGUUUCUGAGUGAUGGUCAACGAGACGUUUCUAGCAGAGUUUAUAAAGGAAGUGAGUCUUCAAUAUAAAGGUUUUCAAGAUCUGUGAAGAAAAAUGUGAUAGAACAGGAUGCGACUGGAUCCUCAACUUUUCAUCGCUUGAAAGGGAGAGUCACCUUAUUAGGUCUGGUAAUAGGAAUGAACCUGAGAUGACUAGUGCUACAUCAACUUCACUUCCUUCCAGGGAAAGGAUAAUAAAUUGUAACAACAAGAAAAAAAUAUACAACAAUGACGUUGGAGAAUGACUUCCUUUGGCUUUACAGUGGAUCAGUGGACAGCGUGCAAAAGGAAGUUAGAAAAUACUCUUUACUUCUUAGCUGUUUCAAAUAAGGCAUUUGUUCAAAAUAACAGAGGGUGGAUGGACAAGUUCUGCAAAGUUCAGUCAUCCUCUGCCGUCACGGAGUGCCGCUGUCCUGGAAGUACACUGUCAAUGAGUGAGAUUUCUAGGAAAGUGACUGCUGGUCAUUCCCAAGUUGUUACUGCUGUCUGCGCAAGUCAAUACUGCUUUACUGAGUCAGAAGGGAGCACCAUUAGUAUGAAGAUAUUCCUGGAAACUGGCAGCGAGACCAAGGAACCUCUGAGCUUACUACUCAGUGGGGUGGUACACAUACUGACAACACUGAAAAGGCUGAGGUGCUUGAUGAUACUGCCAUGGAUUCUUCCAGGAACGUAA